GACGGAGGGGGCGCUGAGAAAGCGGGAAGGGGUACGGAAAAUGAGGAGUGCGCAGACUCAGAAGGGACCUGUCCCUUUUUUUUCACCACUCCGCCUCCCUCCCCCGGCAAGAAUGACAAAAAGAAACUAAUAGAAAUAUGGGAAGUCUUCUAUGAAUUUAGGUCAAGAAAAGUUUAUCACAGACAUCAAGAUCAAACCUUAAACAAAAGCAGAUCCACUCCAUGCAUGAAGUUUGAGAAAUCAGCCUUUUCCAGUGUAGUCAUUCAAAAAACACACUUCAUUGCAGCUACUCCAUGUUGGCUCUGAGUUCAUUCCUCAAAAUACCUCUCUGCAGUAAUCAAAAAGCAGUUGUUAAAUAAAAAUAAAAUUAUCUCUCA
This 377-nucleotide long non-coding RNA is filed under the name Monodelphis domestica (gray short-tailed opossum). Its description in RNAcentral is "lncRNA (ENSMODG00000047706.1)". The record is from RNAcentral. Lineage: Eukaryota; Metazoa; Chordata; Mammalia; Didelphimorphia; Didelphidae.